This 755-nucleotide ribosomal RNA is filed under the name uncultured cyanobacterium. RNAcentral describes it as "bacterial SSU rRNA". It matches the Rfam family "Bacterial small subunit ribosomal RNA", at positions 28 to 829 of the family's 1533-position model. The record is from RNAcentral. Lineage: Bacteria; Bacillati; Cyanobacteriota.
GAUGAACGCUGGCGGUCUGCUUAACACAUGCAAGUCGAACGGAAUCUUUCGGGAUUUAGUGGCGGACGGGUGAGUAACGCGUGAGAAUCUGCCUUCAGGUUCGGGACAACAGCUGGAAACGGCUGCUAAUACCGGAUGUGCCGAGAGGUGAAACUUUAGUGCCUGGAGAUGAGCUCGCGUCUGAUUAGCUAGUAGGAGUGGUAACGGCACCCCUAGGCGACGAUCAGUAGCUGGUCUGAGAGGAUGAUCAGCCACACUGGGACUGAGACACGGCCCAGACUCCUACGGGAGGCAGCAGUGGGGAAUUUUCCGCAAUGGGCGCAAGCCUGACGGAGCAAGACCGCGUGAGGGAAGAAGGUCUGUGGAUUGUAAACCUCUUUUGAUAGGGAAGAAGACAGUGACGGUACCUAUCGAAUCAGCCUCGGCUAACUCCGUGCCAGCAGCCGCGGUAAUACGGAGGAGGCAAGCGUUAUCCGGAAUUAUUGGGCGUAAAGAGUCCGUAGGUGGGUGACCAAGUCAGUUGUUAAAUAGUGAAGCUUAACUUCAUAGAGGCGACUGACACUGGUCAUCUAGAGUGUGGUAGGGGUAGAGGGAAUUCCAGUGUAGCGGUGAAAUGCGUAGAUAUUGGAAGAACACCGGUGGCGAAAGCGCUCUACUGGGCUGCACUGACACUGAGGGACGAAAGCUAGGGGAGCGAAAGGGAUUAGAUACCCCUGUAGUCCUAGCCGUAAACGAUGGAUACUAGGCGUUGCCCG